GUCACGCUGUAAACGAUGUCGAUUUGGAGUUUGUUGCCUAGAGUGAUGGGCUCCGAAGCUAACGCGAUAAAUCGACCGCCUGGGGAGUACGGCCGCAAGGUUAAAACUCAAAUGAAUUGACGGGGGCCCGCACAAGCGGUGGAGCAUGUGGUUUAAUUCGAUGCAACGCGAAGAACCUUACCUGGUCCUGACAUCCAUAGAAUUCUGCAGAGGUGUGGGAGUGCCUUCGGGAACUAUGAGACAGGUGCUGCAUGGCUGUCGUCAGCUCGUGUUGUGAAAUGUUGGGUUAAGUCCCGCAACGAGCGCAACCCUUAUUCUUUGUUGCCAGCGAUUUGGUCGGGAACUCAAAGGAGACUGCCGUUGAUAAAGCGGAGGAAGGUGGGGACGACGUCAAGUCAUCAUGGCCCUUACGACCAGGGCUACACACGUGCUACAAUGGCGUGUACAAAGGGAAGCGAAGGUGCGAGCUGGAGCGGAUCUCAUAAAGUACGUCUAAGUUCGGAUUGGAGUCUGCAACUCGACUCCAUGAAGUCGGAAUCGCUAGUAAUCGUAGAUCAGAAUGCUACGGUGAAUACGUUCCCGGGCCUUGUACACACCGCCCGUCACACCAUGGGAGUGGGUUGCACCAGAAGUAGAUAGCUUAACCGCGAGGGGGGCGUUUACCACGGUGUGAUUCAUGACUGGGGUGAAGUCGUAACAAGGUAACCA
This 708-nucleotide ribosomal RNA is filed under the name uncultured Enterobacteriaceae bacterium. RNAcentral describes it as "bacterial SSU rRNA". It matches the Rfam family "Bacterial small subunit ribosomal RNA", at positions 794 to 1502 of the family's 1533-position model. The record is from RNAcentral. Lineage: Bacteria; Pseudomonadati; Pseudomonadota; Gammaproteobacteria; Enterobacterales; Enterobacteriaceae.